UACAGAGGGGGCAAGCGUUGUUCGGAAUUACUGGGCGUAAAGGGCGCGUAGGCGGCCUUCUAAGUCGAACGUGAAAUCCCUGGGCUCAACCCAGGAACUGCGUCCGAUACUGGAAGGCUUGAAUCCGGGAGAGGGAUGCGGAAUUCCAGGUGUAGCGGUGAAAUGCGUAGAUAUCUGGAGGAACACCGGUGGCGAAGGCGGCAUCCUGGACCAAUUCUGACACUGAGGAGCGAAAGCCAGGGGAGCAAACGGG
RNAcentral lists this ribosomal RNA (253 nucleotides) under uncultured bacterium. RNAcentral's name for it is "partial 16S ribosomal RNA". It matches the Rfam family "Bacterial small subunit ribosomal RNA", at positions 524 to 776 of the family's 1533-position model. The record is from RNAcentral.